UGACAAGAUUUUCUUCUUUUUUAAGACUGAAUAGUAUUCCAUUGUCUACAUGUACCACAUUUUCUUUAUCUAUUCAUCUGUUGAUGGACACAAGUUGAUUCCACAUCUUGGCUAUUGUGGACAGCACUGCCAUGAACAUAGGAGUCCAGAUAUCCUUUGGACAUAUUGAUUUCAAUUCUUUUGGACUAAUACCCAGAAGAGGGUUUGACUGACAUAUGAUAGUUCUAUUUUUAGUUUUUUGAGGAACUUCCAUUCAGUUUCCCAUAAUGGCUGUGAGUCUGGAGUUUGUUCCUGCCGGUGGGUUCGUGGUCUCGCUGACUUCAAGAAUGAAGCUGCAGACGUUCGUGGUAAAAAGCUGAAGCACCAGAUGGUUAAAAGGACUGUUCAAGACAGCCUUGCAAUUUUGACCAAGGAAGAAAGCUGAAGAGUGCUAGGGCAAGAGAGGAACUACGUCCAGAACAAUUCAUAAUUCCAAAUUCUCACUUCCAUGAUUUCAAUGCUGAAUGUGUACUUCUCUAGCUAAAAAUACAAUUGCUUAAGUAAAAUCAUCAUUAUUUAC
This 559-nucleotide long non-coding RNA is filed under the name Homo sapiens (human). RNAcentral describes it as "HSALNT0292921". Lineage: Eukaryota; Metazoa; Chordata; Mammalia; Primates; Hominidae. The record is from RNAcentral.